UGAAGCUGGUGUUACUGGUGUUCCUGGGGUUACUGGAGUUCCUGGGCUCAUAGGCAUCGCCAACUUGCUGCUGCUGCUUGUCUCUCCCUCCACAUCUACAACCAAUAUAUAUAUAUAUAUAUAUAUAUAUCAAAUUUAAUCAAAACCCAAAAAACCAUAUGAUAUAUGGAAACUAGAAUUAAAAAAGAGGCAAACUUUGUCACAUAUAUAUGUAGCACCUUUGAUGUUCAAGGGUUUUGGGGUGACCUUCCUAAGCUUGCCAAGCCCGCGUUCAGGCUGAGGUCCAGCAACAAUGUCAUCCCAAAGCUUUUCAAGCAGAACCAUUUUUUGCUCACUCUUUCUUUCUUUUCCUUCUCUUUCUCUCUCUA
This 368-nucleotide long non-coding RNA is filed under the name Prunus persica (peach). RNAcentral describes it as "long non-coding RNA (PPER_LNC003980)". The record is from RNAcentral. Lineage: Eukaryota; Viridiplantae; Streptophyta; Magnoliopsida; Rosales; Rosaceae.